ACGGGCUCAUUUUUGGCUGCACUACUUUUCUGUUUAUCUUCCUGAUUAGUUGUGAAUUCUUCUUCCAACUCCGAGUCUUCCUAGCCUGUGGGUUCCGCUUGUCUUCUUGGAUUAGAUUCUCUUCAAGACCAGGACCCCUGGAAUCCCAGCUCCAUUCCCAAGGUCCGAGAGACUAAACCAUGUCAAGCGUGUUGUGAGACCCCUGCCCAGUGUAUGCACACCAAGCCUCAACUCGAUGCUUCAGAAUUUCUACACUAAUUGUUCACUGUUGACUGCUCUUUUUGGCACACCGUGUAGAUUCUUGUUUGGACACUAUGAGAUGUACUGGAAAUGUCUCCUUAAAUUAGAAGAUAACCCACAACUUGGAUGACUCACAGUUGAAAUUGUUAUUAAGUGUGCCCUAUUACAGAUGAGACGAAAUGUCUUGUUUAAUAUUUAUUGUACAGCAAUAAUAUAUGUGCUUGAAAAUAUCUCAAUUAGGACUUGGCAAAAAAUACUUAUAAUAGAACCAUAUCCAACCAUGUAAUAAUUAUACCUAGAUGAAUCCCAGCUCUGUUUUAUUUCAAUAUUUGGCAGUAUAUACAUACGUAUUAACUCUUGUGGUUUUCCAAAAAUCUCUAAACAAUAAGCAAAUUAUCAAGUUG
Molecule: long non-coding RNA, 644 nt
Organism: Marmota monax (woodchuck)
Lineage: Eukaryota; Metazoa; Chordata; Mammalia; Rodentia; Sciuridae
Exons: 2
Source: RefSeq, a predicted model, not a curated record